UAUUUGGUCGGAACCGACACAAUAUUUUUUCAAGCUGAGAAAGAAAAAAAUCAUUAACAGAAGAGGCUUCAGUUUGAAUCUUUUUCUUCAUCAGAUCCAAAGAAUCCAUUAUCAAAUUACGGGCCAUCGUCUGUUGGAUUUGUAAUCUACCUUUUUAAUAUCUUUCACAUGAGAAGCCCAAAGAUGUAAAUGGAAGAUUUCAUCACAAAGUCGGCCAUAACUCCAGAUUAAAAGAAUUCUUCGAAUGGAGCUAACCAUUGCAGAUAAUUACUGUUUCCAAGCUGAGGAGUUCUUCGACUUCAAGUCAGCGAUGUAGGUUUGUUUAUCGGAUAUGAUGGGCUAACUAAUCAGUUCACCUAAUCUCCAUCAAUCCGGUGUGUCAGAAGAAAAGUAAGAGACUUCAAUAUAGUUUAGGAAAUGCAUAUAGGAGCUGCAAAAUGGAUUAUAUGAAGAGUAUGUCACAACUAAUAUAAGACAAUGUACAAUUUGAAAGAUAAGUAACAAUUAGAUUCUUAUAAUUUAUCAAUAUUUGUCAAUGUUUAAACAUUUUGAUUGUUGAAGAAUGCUUUACUUGUCAUGUUAGUUGAAAUUAUAAAACUAAGUGCUUAGUUUAUAUCAAGUGCUAUAUGUUGAAACAAUCCCAACUAAAUGAAUCAAAUAAAGAAUGGAUCGGAAAGAGAGAAAGUAUUUUUUUUCUAUACAUGACUGGUAAUACGUACUGUUAUAUGUAGCUAAUUGCCAAUAAUUUCCGCAGGUCUAACAAAAGUCAUUUCUGCAAUAUGGAACUACGUUUAAGACUAUUCAAGGAACAUUAGUUUCAGGAAUGCAAGAUCUUCACUUUUACCCUCCAAGAAGUCUUGUACGGACACACCUCUUUGAGGAAGACAAAGGUAGAAGCCAUUGCUAUGAACUAAAGAAUGAUGGCUUUCACCUUCGGAAAAAAUUGGGAUAACGCUAUCGAAAAGAGGUGACUAGGUUAAAGAAAGAGGUUGAUGAGCAGUACAUGAAGAUUCGAAGCUUCGCACACCAUGAUUUUCAGAUACAAUAAAUGCGUUCGGAGCUGAAAAACAAUGGUGAAGAGAUUGCACAUCUGAAGGAGUUAGUGGUAGGUCUUGUGGGCCGAAGGAUUUUUCGGCCUUGAUAUAUUUAUGUUUUGUUUUGUAAGGCUUAUCAAUCUAUGUGUUGUUUUGUAAGUCUUAUCAUUCUAUGUUUUGCAUGACUUAUUUAUGUUUUAUAAGAUAUAGUCUUCACCCCACUAAUUGCUUCUUCACAUAAGCUUCCAAACAGUACGACUCUUUUCUAAAACUCACCAAGCUUGUCCUCAAUUUUAACCAUUCAUUCUAUCAUAUUUUUGCUCAAGUUAUUUACGAGAUCCACCAAGUCAGCUGAAAGGUUGAU
Molecule: long non-coding RNA, 1398 nt
Organism: Arabidopsis lyrata subsp. lyrata
Lineage: Eukaryota; Viridiplantae; Streptophyta; Magnoliopsida; Brassicales; Brassicaceae
Exons: 6
Source: RefSeq, a predicted model, not a curated record